GUUUAAUUGAGUUUCUCAUCAACAUCAUCUUAUCUCUGAAAGCUUUUGAGAAGUUUCUCAUCUGCUGUGCCCUCCAUGGCCGUUCCUCUCACUCUCUCCUCCCGCUAUUGUCACCGUCUCUACUUCCCUACCACUUCAUUUAAGGUAUGCGUUCAGGGUUACCCCCAAGUACGUGCCUGCGAACAUCAAAGACAGAGAUACAGCUGGAUUUGAAGAUGGAGAUGAAGUGUCACUGGAGCCAUUAUUUUAACAUUUUGUAAAACGGUAUAAUAAGAUUAUUUGUAACAUUUUGUUUCUCAAUGGAAACUUUUUUCAAACUGCAAAGAAAUUUUACAGAAUA
Molecule: long non-coding RNA, 340 nt
Organism: Brassica oleracea var. oleracea
Lineage: Eukaryota; Viridiplantae; Streptophyta; Magnoliopsida; Brassicales; Brassicaceae
Exons: 2
Source: RefSeq, a predicted model, not a curated record